Amphiprion ocellaris (clown anemonefish) is the source of this 559-nucleotide long non-coding RNA. The record is from Ensembl. NCBI's taxonomy places the organism in Eukaryota, Metazoa, Chordata, Actinopteri, Pomacentridae.
AUAGUACCACUAAUCAGGAGGUCUAGAAGGAGUCAUAGUACCACUGAUCAGGAGGUCUAGAAGGAGUCAUAGUACCACUGAUCAGGAGGUCUAGAAGGAGUCAUAGUACCACUAAUCAGGAGGUCUAGAAGGAGUCAUAGUACCACUAAUCAGAGCUCCUAAAAUGACUCCACAGACAGUGAACUACUUUCUCCAUCCAGCUGUAAAAACAGACGGCAGCUGUUUCAGACUUGGUUCAGGGGUUCUCCAUGGAAACCAGAGUUAAUGUGAAGCUCAGAAGGAACCUUCAGAACAUCAACCUCUAUGGACGGAGGACCAGAACUAAGCCUGGCUGCUGAAGAACCCGAGAAGAAGCCUGAUGGAUGUUGGAGAACAUUCUUUGGUCAGAUGAAGAUCAACGAGUUGGGCUCAGAUGGAGUCCAGAUGUUUGGUGAGAACCUGAGCAGGACUACCAUAGUGGAUGCAGAGUCCUGACAAUGAAGCACGGAGUUCACUAACCCUCGUGUCGUCCUGUGAGUCAAACUGACUCAUUUUACAAUUUGAAAAUGUGAAAAAAAAA